Paramisgurnus dabryanus is the source of this 1616-nucleotide long non-coding RNA. RefSeq lists it as uncharacterized. The record is from RefSeq and is a predicted model, not a curated record. Lineage: Eukaryota; Metazoa; Chordata; Actinopteri; Cypriniformes; Cobitidae.
GACAUUAAAAAAUAAUCUCCCAAAGUUUCGUAGUCCAAAUAAUUGAGUAAAGGUGUUUAAAUGACUAUUAAAGUUGAAGCAGCUUUACUAAAUUCGCUGGAAAUUGCUUUUCUCAAAUCCUCACCUCCGUGCAUUCCGGGUAUCCCCUGAAACGUCACUAUCUCUCCAAAUAUGGUGUUACACGUUGUUUUAGAGCCAAUCAGAAAUCUGCAUAAACGCUGAUCAUUUGUCAAUGGGAAUCCCCGGGGCACGUGAUUGGUCCAGCCAUCCUCCUGUCAGUCUCGCAGCACUCUCCUCUCCUAUUUAACUCCUUUUUGAAUUGUUUACACUGUUAUUGUCAACUAGCCUACACAAAGAUAUGAUUGCAUAGGCAAGCAUUAUUUGUUUUCGUUUUGCUUUCUGUCUCUCUCAAUUUCUCUCACACGCGCACGAGCGCGAACACGCACACACUCACAAACAUACACGCACAAACACACACACACACACGCACGCACGCACGCACACACACACACACACACACACACACACACACACACACACACACAUUCUGGUUUCCAUGUUCUAUUCCCUUCCCCUAACUCAAACCCCAGCCAUCACAGACACCUUUCUGUUACUUCACAUUUUCAAUAAACAUCAUUCUGGGUGAUUUAUAAGCUUGUUUCUUGGUUUACUGUAAUAGCAUUUAUAUUAAUGUCUUUGGUCAAAUUAAGCUGUAAAAUAAAUUGUUUAUCCCUUUAAAAAUGCAAUGGAUUUUGAAAGAUAUCUACAAAAAACGGGCAAAAAACUUUAAAGGCGUUUUUCUCAGGUUUUCAGUUGGAAAAAGAGGACAGACAACCUUAAUUGAAAUGUCUAUAUCUUUAAAGAGCACCAAUUAUGCUAAUAAAUUAGCACGUUAGCACGUUAUUGUAAUAUCCCAUAGUACAUACAUGUUAUUAAAACUUGAACUAAUGCACUGUGAGUCUUAUAAAUUGCUUACAUACCUCACCGAUUUCUGCAUGUCUGGAAAACGCUCGGUUUAGUUCCUGUCUCCGCCUCCCAAAAUGUCUAGUGUAUUCGGAUUGGUCAGAUGACUACUCAACUGUUAUUGGUCAACUGGGUUCGGCGUGUGUUUGAAAGAUUACGCCCCUGACUACGCGUGGAUUUUCCGGUUCUGACUGAGAGUCACAGGCAACGUAAACAAGCGCUAUAUUUCUCUAUAAACGAUGGUGUCUGUACUGCCUUACCACUUCAAGCUCGAUCCAGAGAGUUCAGACGGCCAUUACGAUUUAAACGAUCUCCGUCAAUGAACGCGAUUGGAUUUAACUUUUUUAGGUGUCCUUAGCUCUGCCAGAAUGCUAAACGAAGACGAAAAUGUGUUGCAAAGACAUCCAAAAGGUUUUAAGGAGAAUGCAACAUGUUCCAGGGCCUCUUACCUGCGUGAUUCAUCAUCCAGGUUUUGCACAAAUUGUCUAAAUCCCUACACACAGAACAUUUAUUGUACCGACUAUAAGCCUUUGAGGUGCAGGACUAGAAUAUGCUUGGAGCUUCCUGAUCAGAUCGGUCACAAUUUUGGCUUUCGACGACCCCUGCACUGAAGAUGGCAUGCAAUCACGUCCUCCUUUGAAGGUCUCUCAAAC